AUGAACGCUGGCGGCGUGCCUAAUACAUGCAAGUCGAGCGAACAGAUGAGGAGCUUGCUCCUCUGACGUUAGCGGCGGACGGGUGAGUAACACGUGGAUAACCUACCUAUAAGACUGGGAUAACUUCGGGAAACCGGAGCUAAUACCGGAUAAUAUAUUGAACCGCAUGGUUCAAUAGUGAAAGACGGUUUUGCUGUCACUUAUAGAUGGAUCCGCGCCGCAUUAGCUAGUUGGUAAGGUAACGGCUUACCAAGGCAACGAUGCGUAGCCGACCUGAGAGGGUGAUCGGCCACACUGGAACUGAGACACGGUCCAGACUCCUACGGGAGGCAGCAGUAGGGAAUCUUCCGCAAUGGGCGAAAGCCUGACGGAGCAACGCCGCGUGAGUGAUGAAGGUCUUCGGAUCGUAAAACUCUGUUAUUAGGGAAGAACAAAUGUGUAAGUAACUAUGCACGUCUUGACGGUACCUAAUCAGAAAGCCACGGGUAACUACGUG
RNAcentral lists this ribosomal RNA (496 nucleotides) under uncultured bacterium. Its description in RNAcentral is "partial 16S ribosomal RNA". It matches the Rfam family "Bacterial small subunit ribosomal RNA", at positions 29 to 507 of the family's 1533-position model. The record is from RNAcentral.